RNAcentral lists this unclassified non-coding RNA (3113 nucleotides) under Hevea brasiliensis (rubber tree). The record is from RNAcentral. Lineage: Eukaryota; Viridiplantae; Streptophyta; Magnoliopsida; Malpighiales; Euphorbiaceae.
AAAGUAUUGACACAAUUAACUUUUCUAGUCAAAAAAUUGAUUUUAUAUUAAUACAAUAUAAUUGAAAUUAAUAGAAUAAAUGAUUUUGAUAUGUUUUAUAUAGUUAUCUAAUAGAUGUAAUUUGAUUUUGUUAUGUUUUUGUAUAUACAUUAGAAGAAAAAGAGGCAAAUGUAUUGUGUAGAUCAAAUGACAAUAGCUUUUAAAAUGCAUCUUUUUAAUAAAUUGGUUGACCUGCUUUAAAGUUUAAACCCCCACUGGAUUGACUGGUUACCAGCUUAGAAAAAAAAAUGUUUUAUGUCUUAAUCAACUGACCACUAGUCCAGUUUCCGAUUAAAUUGAUCGGUCUGAUUCGAUUCUAAAAACUAUAGGUACAUUUUAAUUGCAACCACAUCACAGACAAAUCUGUGGAAGCUAUUGAUUUUGAUGUUAUUUGUUCAACUCUAAUCGUCUGGGAGUUGAACUUAUGAUAAAAUUGAACUGUUUACAUUAACUGAUAUCUGUGUCAAUCAUCUUCUAACUCACUUGAUGUAUUAUUGCUGAAACAGGGGCUAUGAUAGCUUGCAAGUUAGCAGCAAUGGUGCCUGACAGGGUUCUAUCUUUGGCAUUACUUAAUGUUACUGGUGGAGGUUUUGAAUGUUUUCCAAAGGUAUACAUCCUUUUUGUCACUGAACAGCUGAGCAAGCUUCUUUUAUUUCUGAAUUGCAGAACAUGGGCAUUAGUUUUCUCUGCAACUCUUAUUUUUUCUUUUUUUCUGUUUGAAAAUUCUUUUUUUGAAGUGGAUUACGUUAUUUAUAUAUCAGCUUGAAACAGCUUAUCAUAUGCAUUUGAGCAUUUCCCAAGUUCCUUGUAUUAUCUGAUUGUGAAGUUGGAGAAAGCUUUUGAAAGGCUUAGCUGGAAAUUGAUUCUACCUGAUUAUAUAUAUAUUUUUUUCUAUUUCACUGAAUCUAAGAAAUUUUAUUUAUUCAUUUCCGUCAUACCUACUCCAUUCUUAGGUGAUGAACAUAUUAUACUCUCUAGAGUUUAUUUGAUGGAUUUAUCUUCUGUUGUUCUUGACUUUGGGAACUCCUGAAAUGCAAUGCACAUUAAUUGCACAUCAUUUGGAGUGUUAGUCUCUUAUUGUUGUGUAGCCAUGAGUUGGCUUUGCUGUGAUUGAAUAUAUUUGUAUGUAGGACCUAAACCAAAAUUAGUAAUUGAUUGUGUGAAUAUCCUAGUACCGAUAGAUUGCUGAUUCCGAACAUUGCUUGGUAUGUCCAUCCUUGCAACUCGUUGCUUCUAUAGAUUUGUUUCAUUUAUUGAGCCCUGAGACUUCUUGUCUGACUUGUUACUCAUAUAACUUGUCUGACUUGUUACUCAUAUAACACAAGUAGACUCACAGCUGGAUAAUCUGGCAAAGAAAAUCUGUAUUGUUUAACUUCUAUAGCAAUUGCGUGAUUUUGAAUCCUCAAAAGAAUUUUGCUAGCACGAAAGGAGCUUCUUUGUGAGGAACAGUCUUUAGAGUAUCUUUAUUAUUUUUUUUUUUCCUGAAAAUUCUUCAUUUACGCUUAUGACUGGGAAGCUUAUGAUUUGACGAAUAUGACAGCAUAGAAUUGUAUAUAUUUUUCCCCUUUUAGCCUCAUCUGAUAUUUUUAUCACGUUUCUCAUUUUUGUGCAAAAUUUUGAAUUAGAAGCCAAAAGUAUCAAGUCUGAAAGCCGAAUAUUUUUACACUACAUGUUGUUAAGCACCUAUUAAUCACACAAAUAUCAAUUAAAAUAAUUGUCAAACCUGUGCAUGAUGAAGUACCUUGUGAUAUGUGACAAGGGCAUGUUUAUUGUGAAUUGGUUGAAAUUUGGGUUAGGUCUGAAACUGCCCUCAGCAUAACUCAAGCGGUUUACCCUAAGUCAAUCUAGUUAGUAGUGGACUCAUGAGAUGUGUAUUCAAAACGUUAAUAAAUUAAGUUGGGAAACUAACAGAAAAAUAUUUCAAAGCUACUCCAGCAAUCAAUUAUGACCAUGUCAAUGUUUGAAUUUGAAUAAGUCAGCAUAGGAUCCUAACCUAUUCAACCUGCAUGUAGUCAAAGAAUGUGAUCCAUACUUGUUGCCUCAUUAAUGUAGAUUACAUGGCUACUUAUGUAUGGUCAUGUUGCUUACUUGCUUAGGGCAAAAUUUUACUAAUUUUUGUGUUUUGCUUGUGUGCUAAACACAAGAAUUGCUAUAGUGCUUGGGGGGCUGCUGGGGGGCUGCAGCGUAGCAGGUUGGUCCCUAUUGGGACUGUGCGCUGCCUGAUGUUUAGCUUGAGACUGGUUGGAAUUUGCUUGGGUUGAAAAAUUUUAAGUGCACCUUGGUGUGAUAUGGCUUGAAUAUUUAGGCAUCCCAAUGCUGAGACAAAUCCAGCAUAUUUCAGUUGGGUAUUUGCAGUAUGUAAAUAUAACAAUCUUGAAAAGAGGUGUUGGAUUAGAUGUAUCCAGAAACAACUUAAAAUUGGAAUUUUGGCGAUUGAUUGUAAAUAUUAGGGCCCUUGUCCUUAGGUUUGAACAUAUUCCUUUUUGCCAUCUAGCAUUUUGGCUUAUAUGUCAUAAGCAAAUUCUUUUACCCUUUAAAUACUGUCAUAAAUGAUAAUUAAUUUUGUUUGAAAGCAUAACAAAUUUGAAUAACAGAACUAUAUGGUUUUGUUAAUGCCCAUGGUUUGGAAUUCUUAGGUUAUGGUUAUUAUCUUGAAAUGCUUAUUAUCAGUAUGGUAAGUUUAUCUGUUUAUGGUUUCUUCAUGGCAAGGUCUUCUUUCAAGGAUAUGGAUUUUGUAGCUUUUAAAGUGUAAGUUGCUUGAUAUGGUACAGGACAGAUUGCAAUUUUAAGAAUCUUGAAUCUCUUAAAUUAGAACUGCUUCACAAAUCGAAAUGCGGAGUUUUAUUUCAGCCUUUAUCCCAAUAGGCAUAAAUGGAUUGCUAUUUCUAAUUUCUUCGUUAAACUAUGUCAUUCAUUUCUUGCAGCUUGAUCGCCAAACAGUGUCAAUUGCAAUCCGUUUCUUAAAGGCAAAGACUCCUGAGCAAAGGGCAGCAGUUGACUUAGAUACCCAUUACACAAAGGAAUUUCUUGAGGAAUAUGUUGGGUGUAAGACGAGAAGAGCAAUUUUAUAUCAA